Molecule: non-coding RNA, 56 nt
Organism: Callithrix jacchus (white-tufted-ear marmoset)
Lineage: Eukaryota; Metazoa; Chordata; Mammalia; Primates; Cebidae
Source: Rfam
UUUUCAGUAUAAGUAUGUCUGUUCCAUGAAAUAUUUGGAACAUACUUAUACUAAAA